RNAcentral lists this ribosomal RNA (460 nucleotides) under uncultured bacterium. RNAcentral describes it as "partial 16S ribosomal RNA". It matches the Rfam family "Bacterial small subunit ribosomal RNA", at positions 338 to 795 of the family's 1533-position model. The record is from RNAcentral.
CCUACGGGAGGCAGCAGUGAGGAAUAUUGGUCAAUGGACGAGAGUCUGAACCAGCCAAGUAGCGUGAAGGAUGACUGCCCUAUGGGUUGUAACCUUCUUUUAUAAAGGAAUAAAACGAGGCACGUGUGCCUUUUUGCAUGUACUUUAUGAAUAAGGAUCGGCUAACUCCGUGCCAGCAGCCGCGGUACUACGGAGGAUCCGAGCGUUAUCCGGAUUUAUUGGGUUUAAAGGGAGCGUAGAUGGGUUGUUAAGUCAGUUGUGAAAGUUUGCGGCUCAACCGUAAAAUUGCAAUUGAUACUGGCAGUCUUGAGUACAGUUGAGGUAGGCGGAAUUCGUGGUGUAGCGGUGAAAUGCUUAGAUAUCACGAAGAACCCCGAUUGCGAAGGCAGCUUACUAAACUGUGACUGACAUUGAGGCUCGAAAGUGUGGGUAUCAAACAGGAUUAGAUACCCGAGUAGUC